This 380-nucleotide unclassified non-coding RNA is filed under the name soil metagenome. RNAcentral's name for it is "partial contains 5.8S ribosomal RNA, internal transcribed spacer 2, and large subunit ribosomal RNA". The stretch from base 1 to 120 matches the Rfam family "5.8S ribosomal RNA", at positions 35 to 154 of the family's 154-position model. The record is from RNAcentral.
GAUGAAGAACGUAGCGAAAUGCGAUAAGUGAUGUGAAUUGCAGAAUUCAGUGAAUCAUCGAAUCUUUGAACGCACAUUGCGCCCGCCAGUAUUCUGGCGGGCAUGCCUGUUCGAACGUCAUUUCAACCCUCAGGUCCCCCUUUUCGGAGGGGGAGACACCCUGGUGUUGGGGGACGGCAUCCUGGCCCGCUGUCUCACAGUGUGCCACGCCGCCCCCGAAAUGAAUUGGCGGCCUCGUCGCGUGCCACCCCUGCGUAGUAGCACAACCUCGCAACGGGAGCCCGACGCGGCCACUGCCGUAAAACGCCCAACUUUUACCGAGUUGACCUCGAAUCAGGUAGGAAUACCCGCUGAACUUAAGCAUAUCAAUAGGCGGAGGA